This 1395-nucleotide ribosomal RNA is filed under the name Escherichia coli. RNAcentral describes it as "bacterial LSU rRNA". It matches the Rfam family "Bacterial large subunit ribosomal RNA", at positions 1552 to 2925 of the family's 2925-position model. Lineage: Bacteria; Pseudomonadati; Pseudomonadota; Gammaproteobacteria; Enterobacterales; Enterobacteriaceae. The record is from RNAcentral.
AAGGCUGAGGCGUGAUGACGAGGCACUACGGUGCUGAAGCAACAAAUGCCCUGCUUCCAGGAAAAGCCUCUAAGCAUCAGGUAACAUCAAAUCGUACCCCAAACCGACACAGGUGGUCAGGUAGAGAAUACCAAGGCGCUUGAGAGAACUCGGGUGAAGGAACUAGGCAAAAUGGUGCCGUAACUUCGGGAGAAGGCACGCUGAUAUGUAGGUGAAGUCCCUCGCGGAUGGAGCUGAAAUCAGUCGAAGAUACCAGCUGGCUGCAACUGUUUAUUAAAAACACAGCACUGUGCAAACACGAAAGUGGACGUAUACGGUGUGACGCCUGCCCGGUGCCGGAAGGUUAAUUGAUGGGGUCAGCGCAAGCGAAGCUCUUGAUCGAAGCCCCGGUAAACGGCGGCCGUAACUAUAACGGUCCUAAGGUAGCGAAAUUCCUUGUCGGGUAAGUUCCGACCUGCACGAAUGGCGUAAUGAUGGCCAGGCUGUCUCCACCCGAGACUCAGUGAAAUUGAACUCGCUGUGAAGAUGCAGUGUACCCGCGGCAAGACGGAAAGACCCCGUGAACCUUUACUAUAGCUUGACACUGAACAUUGAGCCUUGAUGUGUAGGAUAGGUGGGAGGCUUUGAAGUGUGGACGCCAGUCUGCAUGGAGCCGACCUUGAAAUACCACCCUUUAAUGUUUGAUGUUCUAACGUUGACCCGUGAUCCGGGUUGCGGACAGUGUCUGGUGGGUAGUUUGACUGGGGCGGUCUCCUCCUAAAGAGUAACGGAGGAGCACGAAGGUUGGCUAAUCCUGGUCGGACAUCAGGAGGUUAGUGCAAUGGCAUAAGCCAGCUUGACUGCGAGCGUGACGGCGCGAGCAGGUGCGAAAGCAGGUCAUAGUGAUCCGGUGGUUCUGAAUGGAAGGGCCAUCGCUCAACGGAUAAAAGGUACUCCGGGGAUAACAGGCUGAUACCGCCCAAGAGUUCAUAUCGACGGCGGUGUUUGGCACCUCGAUGUCGGCUCAUCACAUCCUGGGGCUGAAGUAGGUCCCAAGGGUAUGGCUGUUCGCCAUUUAAAGUGGUACGCGAGCUGGGUUUAGAACGUCGUGAGACAGUUCGGUCCCUAUCUGCCGUGGGCGCUGGAGAACUGAGGGGGGCUGCUCCUAGUACGAGAGGACCGGAGUGGACGCAUCACUGGUGUUCGGGUUGUCAUGCCAAUGGCACUGCCCGGUAGCUAAAUGCGGAAGAGAUAAGUGCUGAAAGCAUCUAAGCACGAAACUUGCCCCGAGAUGAGUUCUCCCUGACUCCUUGAGAGUCCUGAAGGAACGUUGAAGACGACGACGUUGAUAGGCCGGGUGUGUAAGCGCAGCGAUGCGUUGAGCUAACCGGUACUAAUGAACCGUGAGGCUUAACC